Molecule: long non-coding RNA, 627 nt
Filed under: Prunus persica (peach)
Lineage: Eukaryota; Viridiplantae; Streptophyta; Magnoliopsida; Rosales; Rosaceae
Description: long non-coding RNA (PPER_LNC003350)
Source: RNAcentral
GGUUUUCUACUACAAGGAACCGGUCCAAUCCGAACCGGUCCAAUAUAAUUAAUUAAUAUAUAUUUUUUAUAUUUUAUAUAUUUAUAUUUUAUAUUUUAUAUAUAGUUAACAUGUGGCUGUUUUGUAUUGGCUAUCUAAAAUACUACCGUACGCACACACACACAGGAUCAUCACAACUAAAACACACGAUUUAGGGGUUUCUUCUUCCUUCUUCGAUUUUUUUCCUCUCCCUCUCUCUGAUUUCAGAGCCGCCGAACCCGAAGAACCUUUCCUUUCCUCUGCGUGAAACCAUUGUUGCAGCCAUCCUUGUUCUUCUUCAGCCGUCGCGCCGUCGUCCUCGUCACGCAAGCAGGUUCAAUUCUUCUGGCUUUCUUUUUUCUUUGUUUUUUCGUUUUGUUUCUUUUCCCCCUUCGAUUCUCUGUCUGACCAUCUCUAUGUCCUCCAUCAGCAGUUCGUGCAGAUCAUCAUCCAUAUUUCUGGAGUAGGUUGUAGCUUCGCACUCCUUUUUUUUCUCCCAUUGACGCAGCCGUCCGUGCACUCCUCCUCGUCAGUUUUCCAUUGAAGACUCUCUCUGGACUCCAAGAGCAGAGAGCUGCUUACUUGGGCUCUGGUCAAAGUGGCUAGUUU